RNAcentral lists this unclassified non-coding RNA (930 nucleotides) under Helichrysum stoloniferum. RNAcentral describes it as "partial external transcribed spacer". Lineage: Eukaryota; Viridiplantae; Streptophyta; Magnoliopsida; Asterales; Asteraceae. The record is from RNAcentral.
UAUUAUGCUUAAACUGAUUUCUUCACGAGGCCUGCACGAUCGGUCCAAUCGUAUCGCAUGUUCUUGUUUGAUUGUUGCUUUAUAAUUGGAUCGUUAGUGUAACCGAUGACAUGAUUUGCAUGGUUAAGCGUAAAACUUUUGUUGCUGACUUGACAUCGUUUCAAUUUUUGAAAAAUGCUGUUGAACGGUGAUGCAUGUGUUUCUAGGUUUGAUGUGUUGUGUGCGUGAUCAGUUGAUGUGUUGUUGUGAUGCRUUGUUGAUGAUGACAUUCGUCCCAAUGGGAUGUGGUGUCAUGUCCCUUGUUUAUCCUGGUUUUAAGCUUGUUGAGCUUAAAAUGCUAGGAUUAUCGGUUAGUGACACGGCAUCGCUCCAUUGGUUGAUGAAUGUCGUCCAAUGCGGUGGUGGUGGUUUGGUUUUGUUCUCGCAUCGUUCGGUGCAUUCUGGGGUCAUUUUGGCUGUUAGCGGUUUGCUUGGCGUUUGAGCUUGGUGGGCGGCUAUAGGCUGUGUGUCUUCGGGGAUGUAUAUCGUAAAGGUGCAUGAGUGGUGUUUGGUGUGUUACGGGUGGUUGGCUCUCUGCUUGCGCAACAACUUCCUCCCGGCAUACCUYUUCAGUCUCGUGUCAAUGCUUGUAUGGCAUUGAAUGCUUGAUGGGUUUCUUGUGUUGCAUACCUAAUUGAUGGUAUCGUUUGAUGAAUUGGUUUCCCUUUUCGUCGUGCGUCGCCCAUGCGAUGUGAGAUGAACCUUGAGGCAGCCCUUGUGAUCCACWAUUUUGAUGCAUACGCAUUGAUUUUGUGGCCCAUUGAGUGUUGCUUGGUCUCAUGGAUAUGGAACCUGGUGUGGGCAUGGAAUUUUARUGGUUCCUUGUUUGCCCAAAUUUAGCUUUUCUAAAACGAUUGUCUAUCGUGUGUUAACAUGAUAGACUAAUUCGUA